AUUAAUCUUCCCCAAUCAGGUGAAAACCAUUAUGAAAUGACCCUUUCUAUUCAUUUUUUUUCUAGUCCAAGCUAGAGCCCAAUAGAGGUGUGAGACACUCAGCACAAGGAACAGAGUCUGAUUCAUCAGAGGAUGUCAAAUUCUGCAUUCCACUUCAGAGUAACCUGGGGUGAGGUACCCAUGUGUCUGGUGUCUCAAUGGCUGGAAGAGGUGAUGCCUGACCUUAAAGGCUGUAUAGAGCCACCACAAGCAUUUCUGGGACAGGGACGUGCAUGUAUCAUAGUUCAGCCUUAUGGAGAAGCUGCCCUGCCAGUCUGCGUGAGAGAAAGGAUGAAGCCAUUGUAAACCUGGUCUUUUCUUCUUCAAAGCAUGUAACAUUAUGCACAGUCUGAGGCACGCGAUCUAGGAUGUUGCUAUGCCUCUGUUUCUUCAGCUGUUGGAUGGGGAUAUUAUUAUGCUCUUGUCUCGGAUGCUGAGAGGGUUAAUUAAUUAUGCUUAUGAAACCCUUUGAGAUUCUCAGAUGAAAGGUGGCUUUAGAAUUGUUAGGUGUUAUUAUAAGAAAAAAGAAUGAUUUUAUUGCUUCAUGUUAAUGGUUAACAUCUGCACCACAAAACCUGCUUGAUCACAUAAAGAUUCUGCUAAGCAUUUAAUCCUAA
Pezoporus occidentalis (night parrot) is the source of this 656-nucleotide long non-coding RNA. RefSeq lists it as uncharacterized. The record is from RefSeq and is a predicted model, not a curated record. The transcript is spliced from 2 exons. NCBI's taxonomy places the organism in Eukaryota, Metazoa, Chordata, Aves, Psittaciformes, Psittacidae.